Molecule: ribosomal RNA, 253 nt
Filed under: uncultured bacterium
Lineage: Bacteria
Description: partial 16S ribosomal RNA
Rfam family: Bacterial small subunit ribosomal RNA
Source: RNAcentral
UACAGAGGUCUCAAGCGUUGUUCGGAUUCAUUGGGCGUAAAGGGUGCGUAGGUGGCGGGGUAAGUCAGGUGUGAAAUCUCGGGGCUCAACCCCGAAACUGCACUUGAUACUGCCUUGCUCGAGUACUGGAGAGGAGAUUGGAAUUUACGGUGUAGCAGUGAAAUGCGUAGAUAUCGUAAGGAAGACCAGUGGCGAAGGCGAAUCUCUGGACAGUUACUGACACUGAAGCACGAAAGCCAGGGGAGCAAACGGG